RNAcentral lists this ribosomal RNA (160 nucleotides) under Saxifraga afghanica. Its description in RNAcentral is "5.8S ribosomal RNA". It matches the Rfam family "5.8S ribosomal RNA". From Rfam's summary of the family: 5.8S ribosomal RNA (5.8S rRNA) is a component of the large subunit of the eukaryotic ribosome. It is transcribed by RNA polymerase I as part of the 45S precursor that also contains 18S and 28S rRNA. The record is from RNAcentral. RNAcentral also lists the same sequence under 1 other name. Lineage: Eukaryota; Viridiplantae; Streptophyta; Magnoliopsida; Saxifragales; Saxifragaceae.
AUGACUCUCGGCAACGGAUAUCUCGGCUCUUACAUCGAUGAAGAACGUAGCAAAAUGCGAUACUUGGUGUGAAUUGCAGAAUCCCGUGAACCAUCGAGUCUUUGAACGCAAGUUGCGCCCGAAUCCAUCUGGUUGAGGGCACGUCUGCCUGGGUGUCACG